RNAcentral lists this ribosomal RNA (112 nucleotides) under uncultured eukaryote. RNAcentral describes it as "partial small subunit ribosomal RNA". The record is from RNAcentral.
UCGCUACUACCGAUUGAAUGGCUUAGUGAGCUCUGGGGACCGGGGCUGCGGUUGGGUUUCCUUCCGUCUGCCCUGUGGAACCAGAUCAAACUUGAUCAUUUAGAGGAAGUAA